RNAcentral lists this ribosomal RNA (820 nucleotides) under uncultured bacterium. RNAcentral describes it as "bacterial SSU rRNA". It matches the Rfam family "Bacterial small subunit ribosomal RNA", at positions 38 to 832 of the family's 1533-position model. The record is from RNAcentral. RNAcentral also lists the same sequence under 1 other name.
CGUGCGCGUGCUUACCAUGCAAGUCGCACGAGAACGCUUCAGCUUGCUGGAGCUAGUAAAGUGGCGCACGGGUGAGUAACGCGUGGGUAAUCUACCUCCGAAUUGGGGAUAACGUUGCGAAAGCGACGCUAAUACCGGAUAAUAUCUUCUUGACUUCGGUCUUGGGGAUCAAAGGUGGCCUCUACAUGUAAGCUACUGUUUGGAGAUGAGCCCGCGUCCCAUUAGCUUGUUGGCGGGGUAACGGCCCACCAAGGCUUCGAUGGGUAGCUGGUCUGAGAGGAUGAUCAGCCACACUGGAACUGGAACACGGUCCAGACUCCUACGGGAGGCAGCAGUGAGGAAUUUUGCGCAAUGGGGGAAACCCUGACGCAGCAACGCCGCGUGAGUGAUGAAGGCUUUCGGGUCGUAAAGCUCUGUCAAGUGGGAAGAACCGCCGAGGGGUUAACAUCCUCUUGGUCUGACGGUACCACUGAAGGAAGCACCGGCUAACUCCGUGCCAGCAGCCGCGGUAAUACGGGGGGUGCAAGCGUUAUUCGGAUUUACUGGGCGUAAAGCGCGCGUAGGCGGCCGUUUAAGUCAGAUGUGAAAGCCCGGGGCUCGACCCCGGAAGUGCAUUUGAUACUAUUCGGCUUGAGUAUGGGAGAGGGAAGUGGAAUUCCUGGUGUAGAGGUGAAAUUCGUAGAUAUCACGAGGAACACCGGUGGCGAACGCGACUUCCUGGACCAAUACUGACGCUGAGGCGCGAACGCGUGGGGAGCAAACAGGAUUAGAUACCCUGGUAGUCCACGCAGUAACGGUGAUCACUAAGUGUUAGCGGGGU